Molecule: small nuclear RNA, 22 nt
Filed under: Arabidopsis thaliana (thale cress)
Lineage: Eukaryota; Viridiplantae; Streptophyta; Magnoliopsida; Brassicales; Brassicaceae
Description: snRNA_08403
Source: RNAcentral
AUCAAAUCGUGGUAAAAGGUAA